This 3309-nucleotide long non-coding RNA is filed under the name Oncorhynchus kisutch (coho salmon). Its description in RNAcentral is "lncRNA (ENSOKIG00005034250.1)". Lineage: Eukaryota; Metazoa; Chordata; Actinopteri; Salmoniformes; Salmonidae. The record is from RNAcentral.
ACAGUGAUUAUCACUCUGGUAGUUAUCACUCUGGUAGGCAGUGAUCAUCACUCUGGUAGACAUCACUCUGCUAGGCAGUGAUUAUCACUCUGGUAGACAUCACUCUGGUAGGCAGUGAUUAUCUUUCUGGUAGACAGUGAUUAUCACUGGUAGGCAUCACUCUGGUAGACAGUGAUUAUCACUCUGGUAGACAGUGAUUGUCACUCGGGUAGGCAGUGAUUAUCUCUCUGGUAGACAGUUAUUAUCACUCUGGUAGGCAGUGAUUAUCACUCAGGUAGGCAUCACUCCGGUAGGCAGUGAUUAUCACUCUGGUAGACAGCGAUUGUCACUCGGGUAGGCAGUGAUUAUCUCUCUGGUAGACAGUGAUUAUCACUCUGGUAGGCAUCACUCGGGUAGGCAGUCAUUAUCUCUCUGGUAGGCAGUGAUUAUCUCUCUGGUAGGCAGUGAUUGUCACUCUGGUAGGCAGUGAUUAUCACUCUGGUAGGCAUCACUCUGGUAGGCAGUCAUCAUCACUCUGGUAAACAGUGAUUAUCACUCUGACUGAUUGUGUGUACAGUAUGUGGGAGGUGUGUAGUUGAUGAAUCAGAAGUGAAACCCAGACUAAACUGUCCUUACAAGUGUGUUUGUAAAAAAUAGUUAACCCCCCCCCCCCCCCACCACACUCACACACACUUUUAGGAGGAGCACUGGCGUUUGGAUGGGCCUGGAUCUGUCCAAGUGGGAGAAGGAGAGCCUAGAGAGGGGACAGAGUCACCGCAGAGCCCCAGUGGUACAGACCCUGAGUUUGACAGCCAACCCCCCAAGAUGCGAGAGGAGAGAAGGGCAGUCGUGGAGACAGAGGAGGCUGGAGACAACACAGGCCUGGAGAGAGAGGAGCUGGGGUCAAUUAUUCCCGGUGACUGUCCUCCUCCGAGUAGUAUUUUGGGGCGAAGCUACAGGGAGAGGCAGGGCCUGAGGGUGAGUGACAGCCGACCUGGCCAUAGGGAGACACCAUUGAAUACUGAUGUUGGUAAGUCCAGACUCAGAUAAUGGGUUCCCUUCCUGUAUUCUCAUGCCUUCUAUUCUCCUCUCAUCUGAAGUCAGAUUUGUGUGUGUGUGUGUGCGUUUUGUGUGUGUGUGUGUGCGCAUACAUAUUUCUCCACAGUCAUCAGUGUGUUUUCCACUCCCUCUGUAGGUACGUUCAGUGGGCUGCGUAUCGGAGAAGUACAGUCUGUCAGAGAGCUGUCCAGACCAGAGUUCGUCAUACACCCUCACCGCUACUUCAACCAUAGCGCCAAAACCAGCCCAAUAUUCACACCCCUACCUGCCAACACUGAGGGUACGCCCCUUAUUGGUGUGAAAAGGAAUAUACAAAAAUAUCAGUACAAAGUUUGACUAAUAAGUAGUCUUAAGAUAAUAUAUAGUUUUGAGAUAAUACAGGUCUGUUGUUUUGUGUCAGACUACCUUCAGGAUGUUUUUCCCUCUCUGUGCCCUCCUGCAGUGGUGAAGGCUGCCUUUGACCAGCGGAGUCUGUUCCCUAAAGAGCUUCUGGAUGAGGAGGACAGGCCUAGCCAUGGAGCCAGGAAACAGGGGAGCAGGGAGAACCGGAUCAACGACAGGGGGCGUGGGAGGAAGGACAGGUGAGGGAGAUUGACAGUCAUGUCAGAGAACAGAUAUGUGUGACCUAGCAGGACAGAUUUGAACUGAUCAGUCAUUGUUUUUUCCCCACUAUAGACAAAGAAAGGGUAGUUCCUCUGGAGCCUUCAAGUGAAGACGUCAUUUAUAUUGUUAUCUACUUUAUCACGUUUCAAUAUAACUUAAAUGUCUGUCAAAUUAAAUCUGAUCAAUCAAGACACGAGUGUGUUUAUGUCUCUCUGCUUCCCCUCAUGAGAAAGUACUACUAAAUUACUACUACAUUACUACUACAUUACUAUUACAGUACUACUACAGUACUACUACAUUACUACUACAGUACUACUACAGUACUACUACAUUACUACUACAGUACUACUACAGUACUACUACAGUACUACUACAUUACUACUACAUUACUACUAAAUUACUACCACAUUUGCUACUACUACUUGAUUGCUAUUGAGAUGUGUGGUAAACCAGUAUUGAUUUAUGUAGUAAUUAGUGAUAAAUUUCACUACUUGUGAGCACUUGAUAUUUCCUACUCAAUUCUGGCGUGUUCACUAUCGAAUUACAACCAAAUGCCUAUAUAUUUCUACUGUAUCCCUUCUGCCAUUUACCUGUGUAGUGUCAGUACUGAUCACUACUGCCAUUUACCUGUGUAGUGUCAGUACUGAUCACUACUGCCAUUUACCUGUGUAGUGUCAGUACUGAUCACUACUGCCAUUUACCUGUGUAGUGUCAGUACUGAUCACUACUGCCAUUUACCUGUGUAGUGUCAGUACUGAUCACUACUGCCAUUUACCUGUGUAGUGUCAGUACUGAUCACUACUGCCAUUUACCUGUGUAGUGUCAGUACUGAUCACUACUGCCAUUUACCUGUGUAGUGUCAGUACUGAUCACUACUGCCAUUUACCUGUGUAGUGUCAGUACUGAUCACUACUGAGUUGUUCCUGAUCCUUUUUCAUUUCCUACAUUAAACUUUUUGAAUUACUAUUGAACAUGGACACAUUUACUACUGGUUGCCUAUUCAGAAUCACUUUUUAAAAUUGUAUUUUUUAUUUUAUUUAACUAGGAAAGUCAGUUAAGAACAAAUUCUUAUUUUCAAUGACGGCCUAGGAACAGUGGGUUAACUGCCUGUUCAGGGGCAGAACGACAGAUAUUUACCUCGUCGGCUUGGGGAAUUGAUCCAGCAACCUUUCGGUUACAAGUCCAACUCUCUAACCACUAGGCUAUUUAUCUUAAAUCACUAACCUGUCACUACUAGACUAAUGCACAUGUUCUUUCCUCAAGUUUCUAACUGUAGUUAUAUAAUCAAACAGGAAAUAGUACUCGUACAGACUAAAUUAAACGUGCCUGUUUAUAUAAUGAAUAAGAGUUUUGGGGGCUAAAAGUAAUGAAAUAUUAAAGCUUUAAACCUCUCUCUAAAAGCUUCACUCACACAUAAAUGAUCCUUAAACCCAAAAUGGUUCUCCAGUAGAAAGACUCAUCCGUUGUGCCUUUCUAUGGAUUACACCUUCUCACUUCCGACUAAUUGAAAAUGACAUUUUGUUAAAAGUAUCACCCCCUGUUUUUAACAAGCCAUUCAAAACUGCUUCCAAUUUCAGUUUUUAUUCUCCUUGAAAAUAUAGAACAAAUAUUACAUCAAAUGUAAUGGUUAAACUCAAAUAUACUGAUUCAUUAAAAAUUAAAAAACAC